Long non-coding RNA from Etheostoma spectabile (orangethroat darter), 100 nucleotides. RefSeq lists it as uncharacterized. The transcript has 3 exons. Lineage: Eukaryota; Metazoa; Chordata; Actinopteri; Perciformes; Percidae. The record is from RefSeq and is a predicted model, not a curated record.
GCUGAAUUGAGAUUAUACUUGAAGUGUGUUUGUGUGUGUUAGAGAAUUUGUUAGUGUAUUCGCAUGCUGGUACGGUCUUGAAGGGUUUGUUUUGCUCAAA